Molecule: long non-coding RNA, 1601 nt
Filed under: Malus domestica (apple)
Lineage: Eukaryota; Viridiplantae; Streptophyta; Magnoliopsida; Rosales; Rosaceae
Description: long non-coding RNA (MDOM_LNC011052)
Source: RNAcentral
AACACUCUUUUACAUUAAAAACAACUAACUAAAUUUGUAAAUCAAACUAAACCCACUAAAAUCUGUUGUAGCAAGAAGCUAAUAUACAUUUUAUUGACUCUUUCAUAGUCCACAAACUUGAUCUUUCUCAAAGCAUGAACACUUAAAGCAUUUUUAUGCAAAAGCAGAGACAAUAUAUAUCAUAAAUAAACAUUAGAAAAACCAUUUAUCUAUCUUUAAUUAUGUUUUUUUGUUUUCCACUCAAACAUAUUACCAUAAAUUCGUAUCAAAACACAGCAAAGUGGUACUACUCAAAACAAGUCUCAUGGCACGAACUGAUCUUCGCUCUGUUGCUCCUCCUCAGUCUGGUUUCCGUUGCCGUAAUUACCCCUGUUAUUGUACCAGUUUUUCGAGUCCACAACCCUAAGGGUUUCCAUACUGGUUCUGGUUGUAGUUGCUCUCGCUGCUCCGGUCGUAGUAAUACUUGCCGUUCAAAAACCUAGCGUUACUCAUCCCCUGCUUCUCAAAAUUGUAGUAGUUGUUGUAGAUCGGGAGCUCUGAUUCCUUCACAUUGUUGCUGUUGGAGCUGGCGACUUUGCUAAAGAAUUGGCUGUCUCUGGCUUGAGCUUGGAGAGAGAAGAGGAUGAGAGAGAAGAGGAAGAGGAGAGAGAAGAAUUUGGGAGGAGGAGGAGCCAUGAGUGGCAAUUGUUGUGGGAGGCAACUGUUGUGAAGUGAGAAUUGUGGGUGUGUUGUAGUGCAGGGAGAGCUAGUGGGUAGUGCAUUGUUUAUAUAGAGGACCUUUUUUCUUUUUCUCCACCAAUUUUUUCAACUCAUUAGGUGCAAAAUGGGGUGGAGGAUGAGUGAUGGUUUCUGGUCCCCCACUUUGGAUACAAUUGAGCACUUUGCUCCUUUUUCCAGUUAGUAAGUUUUUUUUUUUCUUCGUUAAGACUAUUUGAAUUGUUUGGAAUGAGAUCAUUUCCAAAUCUUUGCCUCCAGAGUAGAAGGAUUCGGAAAUUUAGACCAUUUGAUUUAAAUUUUACGGUUCUAUGAACCCAUUUUACUGGCCUAACUCACGCACAAACUCACACCCUCGUCUCCUCAUCUCUCUCUCUCGAAUGGCCUGGUUUUUCAAGCCCAUCUACUCAUGAGGUAGAGAUCUGAAGAUGAUCUAAUUUCGAAUUGUUUAGCUUUAGACUCUCUUUCAUCGAUUAUUCAUGUUAAAAAUUGAUCGCAUCCCCAUUAUCCACGUUUCCAUUUUAAUUUUAUUUACAAAAACCUAUCAUUUGGCUCUGAACUUGUUUUAUAAGAGGAGAAAAACUUAAGUAGAGCCACCUCAAUAACGUCAUCUGUAAAAUAUUUCUCACAAAAGUAUAAAUUCUCUUUGUAUUUUAGUGUCCACCCAACCUCAUAUUAAUGUGAGAAAUGCACUAGUAAAACAGCACUACCGAAGUUUUUCUUCUAUUUUUUUUGGUAAAAGAAGUUUUUCUUCUUUAAUACGGUGUAAUAAGCAUUUGCUAACAGAAAUUUUCUUAUGACCAUUGAUUAUUCUUUCAUUCUAAGCAAGCCGAUUAUAUGAUAAGAUGAAUGAGAACAACAACAACCCAGCUAACACAAUUAAUAAG